GUUGCCACCUAUUCUUCAGUGUCAGAGUGGCCAUCUUGUUUGUAGCAACUGUCG
Molecule: small RNA, 54 nt
Filed under: Mus musculus (house mouse)
Lineage: Eukaryota; Metazoa; Chordata; Mammalia; Rodentia; Muridae
Source: RNAcentral